UGCAUCGGGUAAGACCGGUAGCUUUUCUUGACUCUAAAUAGGUCUUGGAAUAAGGGGUGGGUAAGGACGGUGCCAGCCGCCGCGGUAAUACCGGCGCCUCAAGUGGUAGUCGCUUUUAUUGGGCCUAAAACGUCCGUAGCCGGUCUGAUACAUUCGUGGGUAAAUCAACCAGCUCAACUGGUUGAAUUCUGCGAGGACGGUCAGACUUGGGACCGGGAGAGGUGUGGGGUACGCUCAGGGUAGGGGUAAAAUCCUGUCAUCCUGAGCGGACCACCUGUUGCGAAGGCGCCACACUAGAACACGUCCGACGGUGAGGGAUGAAAGCUGGGGGAGCAAACCGGAUUAGAUACCCGGGUAGUCCCAGCUGUAAACUAUGCA
RNAcentral lists this ribosomal RNA (378 nucleotides) under archaeon M1NMI. RNAcentral describes it as "bacterial SSU rRNA". It matches the Rfam family "Archaeal small subunit ribosomal RNA", at positions 385 to 764 of the family's 1478-position model. The record is from RNAcentral.